Molecule: ribosomal RNA, 1287 nt
Filed under: Triticum aestivum (bread wheat)
Lineage: Eukaryota; Viridiplantae; Streptophyta; Magnoliopsida; Poales; Poaceae
Description: partial small subunit ribosomal RNA
Source: RNAcentral
AUGGCCGAGAUUUGCUGCCAGGAAGCCAAGUCGCCGCCGGCGACCGCCGCCACGGUGGCCACGGUCUCGGCGUCGGCGGCCGCUGCGGCCGUCGCCUCGUCGGUGAUGGACAGGCGGCGCCGCAGGUUGGAGCUGAAGCGUUUCCGCCUCGCGAGCGACCUCGAGCAGUCGGCCGCGGAGUACGCCGGCGCCCGCAAGCGGCCGAGGAUACCGCGCACGGUGUCUGGCCCGUGCCCCGACGCUGCCUCGGCGUCCGAGAACACGGAGCGUUACCCAAGGUUCGGGUUCUCCUCUGUAUGCGGUCGUCGUCGCGAGAUGGAGGACGCCGUCUCCAUCAGGCCGGGUUUCCUGCCUGGCUCCGGCAAGUCCCACUUCUUCGGCGUCUUCGAUGGCCACGGCUGCUCACACGUGGCGACGACGUGCCAGGAGCUGAUGCAUGAGGCGGUGGCGGAGGAGCACGAGAAGGCGGGGCCCGGCGAGGAGCCUACGUGGAAGGAGGUGAUGGAGAGGAGCUUCGCGCGGCUGGACGAGCGGGCCGCGAACUGGGCGACCACCCGCAGCAGCGAGGAGCCCGCCUGCCGCUGCGAGCAGAAGAUGCCCUCGCGGUGCGACCACGUGGGAUCCACCGCCGUCGUGGCCGUCGUCAGCCCGACCCAGCUCGUCGUGGCCAACGCCGGCGACUCCCGUGCCGUCCUUUCCCGCGCUGGCGUGCCUGUUGCACUCUCCGUCGACCACAAGCCUGACCGGCCGGACGAGCUGGAGCGCAUCCAGGCGGCGGGCGGGCGCGUCAUCUACUGGGACGGUGCCCGGGUGCUCGGCGUCCUCGCCAUGUCCCGAGCCAUAGGUGAGUUUUCUAGUUCAAAUUUCGCUCUCGUCAGGAGCUUUGCUCUGCCUCCGGGGUCCCGAUCCGAGCCUAACUUGACUUGUACGCGCGCAGGGGAUGGCUACCUGAAGCCGUUCGUGACGGCUGAGCCGGAGGUGACCGUGACGGAGCGCAGCGACGCCGACGAGUGCCUGAUCCUGGCCAGCGACGGGCUGUGGGACGUGGUGACCAACGAGAUGGCGUGCGACGUCGCCAGGGCGUGCUUCCGGAGCAACGGCCCUCCAGAGCCGGCCACGGCUCAGGCGCAGCCGAGCGGCGAGGCCAAGGCGAGCGAGGGGGUGAGCAAGGCGGAGUCCGACCGGGCGUGCUCCGACGCGGCCAUGCUGCUGGCGAAGCUGGCGCUGGCGCGGGGGAGCUCCGACAACGUCAGCGUCGUGGUCGUGGAUCUACGCCGGGGAUCGUGA